GGAGUCAGCUCCUGGUUGUGUGUGUUUGUUUCCUCAGAAACUUUUCGUCCCCUUGCGCGAUUUGGGUCCCUGCAGGGGUCAGUCAUCCAUCCAGACCUAAAGGACACGUUAAAUUUAACAGGAUCGUGAACAUCAGCACAGGAACAGGAGGUGCAAAUGCUCUGUCUAAUCAAAGGCGAGAUGCAGUUGCUUGCAUGUACAGGACUAUCCAUAUUUUCUAUACUUCCUGGAUAUUGGGACAUGAAUACCCACAGUGAUCGUAGACCACACGAAGGAGCAAAAAGACUCUCAAGCUUCUAUGUAACCCUCACACACCUCUCUGAUCCUUCACAGUGAUGCUAAAUACAAUGAACAAUAGCAGAAAUAAAAACAAUAGUUUUGUGGA
Molecule: RNA transcript, 385 nt
Organism: Sturnus vulgaris (Common starling)
Lineage: Eukaryota; Metazoa; Chordata; Aves; Passeriformes; Sturnidae
Source: RefSeq, a predicted model, not a curated record